CGGACAGAAGGCUCUCGGUGAAGCGGAUGUAGUUGACCGGCUUAUUGCGUAAGUUCGGCAUUGUUUCGAAUUGAAUUCAGUUUAGUUUUGUUGCAAUCGUUGCCUUUGUUUGGAAAUACCGUGAUAAUUUCAUAUUAAUUUCAAGUGUUAGUAAUUGUGUUCUUUAUCGUUCUUUUUUUUAAAUUUUCAAUUUCUUAAAUUUCGGUAUGUAGUUCAGUAUAUUUAGUAAGUGUAGUGAUUCGUGCGUCGAAGCUGCGAUUUUUUCUCGAGUUACAACAAUUUGGUA
This is a long non-coding RNA of Ctenocephalides felis (cat flea), 286 nucleotides long. RefSeq lists it as uncharacterized. The record is from RefSeq and is a predicted model, not a curated record. The transcript is spliced from 2 exons. Lineage: Eukaryota; Metazoa; Arthropoda; Insecta; Siphonaptera; Pulicidae.